RNAcentral lists this ribosomal RNA (484 nucleotides) under uncultured bacterium. RNAcentral describes it as "partial 16S ribosomal RNA". It matches the Rfam family "Bacterial small subunit ribosomal RNA", at positions 30 to 507 of the family's 1533-position model. The record is from RNAcentral.
AUUGAACGCUGGCGGCAGGCCUAACACAUGCAAGUCGAGCGGAUGAAGGGAGCUUGCUCCUGGAUUCAGCGGCGGACGGGUGAGUAAUGCCUAGGAAUCUGCCUGGUAGUGGGGGAUAACGUCCGGAAACGGGCGCUAAUACCGCAUACGUCCUGAGGGAGAAAGUGGGGGAUCUUCGGACCUCACGCUAUCAGAUGAGCCUAGGUCGGAUUAGCUAGUUGGUGGGGUAAAGGCCUACCAAGGCGACGAUCCGUAACUGGUCUGAGAGGAUGAUCAGUCACACUGGAACGGAGACACGGUCCAGACUCCUACGGGAGGCAGCAGUGGGGAAUAUUAGACAAUGGGCGAAAGCCUGAUCCAGCCAUGCCGCGUGUGUGAAGAAGGUCUUCGGAUUGUAAAGCACGUUAAGUUGGGAGGAAGGGCAGUAAGUUAAUACCUUGCUGUUUUGACGUUACCGACAGAAUAAGCACCGGCUAACUUCGUG